Molecule: ribosomal RNA, 468 nt
Filed under: uncultured bacterium
Lineage: Bacteria
Description: partial 16S ribosomal RNA
Rfam family: Bacterial small subunit ribosomal RNA
Source: RNAcentral
GACGAACGCUGGCGGCGUGCUUAACACAUGCAAGUCGAACGGAAAGGCGCUGCUUUUGCGGGGUGCUCGAGUGGCGAACGGGUGAGUGAAACGCGAGUAAAAUGCACCUGUAUGUGGGGUAAAUUCUGGAGAAUGGGGCUCAUACCGGAUAGGAGCUACUGAUGCAUGGGGGUGGAUGGAAAGAUUCGGCGGUUGGGGAUGGACUCGAGGCUUAUCAGCUUGUUGGGGGGGUAGUUGCGUACCAAGGCUAUGACGGGUAGCCGGCCUGAGAGGGUGACCGGCCACAUUGGGACUGAGGUACGGCGCAGUCUCCUACGUGAGGCAGCAGUGGGGAAUAUGGCGCAGUGGGCGGGAGCCUGAGACAGCAAUGUCGCGUGCGUGAUGAUGGCCUUCGAGUGGUAAACCGCUUUCGACGGUAACGAAGCGUGAGUGACGGUAAUGGGUAAGAAAGCACCGGCUAACUACGUG